This 833-nucleotide ribosomal RNA is filed under the name Purpureocillium lilacinum. RNAcentral describes it as "LSU rRNA". It matches the Rfam family "Eukaryotic large subunit ribosomal RNA", at positions 76 to 938 of the family's 3401-position model. The record is from RNAcentral. Lineage: Eukaryota; Fungi; Ascomycota; Sordariomycetes; Hypocreales; Ophiocordycipitaceae.
UGCCCCAGUAACGGCGAGUGAAGCGGCAACAGCUCAAAUUUGAAAUCUGGCCCCCAGGGCCCCGAGUUGUAAUUUGCAGAGGAUGCUUUUGGCGCGGUGCCUUCCGAGUUCCCUGGAACGGGACGCCAUAGAGGGUGAGAGCCCCGUCUGGUCGGACGCCUAGCCUGUGUAAAGCUCCUUCGACGAGUCGAGUAGUUUGGGAAUGCUGCUCUAAAUGGGAGGUAUAUGUCUUCUAAAGCUAAAUACCGGCCAGAGACCGAUAGCGCACAAGUAGAGUGAUCGAAAGAUGAAAAGCACUUUGAAAAGAGGGUUAAAUAGUACGUGAAAUUGUUGAAAGGGAAGCGCUUGUGACCAGACUUGGGCCCGGUGGAUCAUCCAGCGUUCUCGCUGGUGCACUCCGCCGGGUUCAGGCCAGCAUCAGUUCGCCGCGGGGGAAAAAGGCUUCGGGAACGUGGCUCCUACGGGAGUGUUAUAGCCCGUUGCAUAAUACCCUGGGGCGGACUGAGGUUCGCGCUCCGCAAGGAUGCUGGCGUAAUGGUCAUCAGCGACCCGUCUUGAAACACGGACCAAGGAGUCGUCUUCGUAUGCGAGUGUUCGGGUGUAAAACCCCUACGCGUAAUGAAAGUGAACGCAGGUGAGAGCUUCGGCGCAUCAUCGACCGAUCCUGAUGUUCUCGGAUGGAUUUGAGUAAGAGCAUACGGGGCCGGACCCGAAAGAAGGUGAACUAUGCCUGUAUAGGGUGAAGCCAGAGGAAACUCUGGUGGAGGCUCGCAGCGGUUCUGACGUGCAAAUCGAUCGUCAAAUAUGGGCAUGGGGGGCGAAAGACUAAUCGA